This 301-nucleotide ribosomal RNA is filed under the name uncultured bacterium. Its description in RNAcentral is "partial 16S ribosomal RNA". It matches the Rfam family "Bacterial small subunit ribosomal RNA", at positions 509 to 807 of the family's 1533-position model. The record is from RNAcentral.
CAGCAGCCGCGGUAAUACAGAGGGUGCAAGCGUUAAUCGGAAUUACUGGGCGUAAAGCGCGCGUAGGUGGUUUGUUAAGUUGGAUGUGAAAUCCCCGGGCUCAACCUGGGAACUGCAUCCAAAACUGGCAAGCUAGAGUAUGGUAGAGGGUGGUGGAAUUUCCUGUGUAGCGGUGAAAUGCGUAGAUAUAGGAAGGAACACCAUUGGCGAAGGCGACCACCUGGACUGAUACUGACACUGAGGUGCGAAAGCGUGGGGAGCAAACAGGAUUAGAUACCCCCGUAGUCCCUGUCUCUUAUAC